Molecule: ribosomal RNA, 253 nt
Filed under: uncultured bacterium
Lineage: Bacteria
Description: partial 16S ribosomal RNA
Rfam family: Bacterial small subunit ribosomal RNA
Source: RNAcentral
UACGUAGGGUGCAAGCGUUAAUCGGAAUUACUGGGCGUAAAGCGUGCGCAGGCGGUUGUGCAAGACAGAUGUGAAAUCCCCGGGCUCAACCUGGGAAUUGCAUUUGUGACUGCACGGCUAGAGUGUGUCAGAGGGGGGUAGAAUUCCACGUGUAGCAGUGAAAUGCGUAGAGAUGUGGAGGAAUACCGAUGGCGAAGGCAGCCCCCUGGGAUAACACUGACGCUCAUGCACGAAAGCGUGGGGAGCAAACGGG